This 253-nucleotide ribosomal RNA is filed under the name uncultured bacterium. RNAcentral's name for it is "partial 16S ribosomal RNA". It matches the Rfam family "Bacterial small subunit ribosomal RNA", at positions 524 to 776 of the family's 1533-position model. The record is from RNAcentral.
UACGGAGGGAGCUAGCGUUGUUCGGAAUUACUGGGCGUAAAGCGCACGUAGGCGGCUUUGUAAGUUAGAGGUGAAAGCCCGGGGCUCAACUCCGGAACUGCCUUUAAGACUGCAUCGCUUGAAUCCGGGAGAGGUGAGUGGAAUUCCGAGUGUAGAGGUGAAAUUCGUAGAUAUUCGGAAGAACACCAGUGGCGAAGGCGGCUCACUGGAUCGGUAUUGACGCUGAGGUGCGAAAGCGUGGGGAGCAAACAGG